RNAcentral lists this ribosomal RNA (277 nucleotides) under uncultured bacterium. Its description in RNAcentral is "partial 16S ribosomal RNA". It matches the Rfam family "Bacterial small subunit ribosomal RNA", at positions 28 to 303 of the family's 1533-position model. The record is from RNAcentral.
GACGAACGCUGGCGGCGUGCUUAACACAUGCAAGUCGGGCGGUAAGGCCCUUUCGGGGGUACACGAGCGGCGAACGGGUGAGUAACACGUGGGUGACCUGCCCUCAGCUCUGGGAUAAGCCUGGGAAACCGGGUCUAAUACUGGAUAUGACUCCAUGACGCAUGUUGGUGGGGUAGGAAAGCCUUGUGCGGCUGAGGAGUGGGCCCGCGGCCUAUCAGCUUGUUGGUGGGGUGAUGGCCUACCAAGGCGACGACGGGUAGCCGGCCUGAGAGGGCGA